GAUAAACGCUGGCGGCGUGCCUAAUACAUGCAAGUCGAGCGAACGGACGAGAAGCUUGCUUCUCUGAUGUUAGCGGCGGACGGGUGAGUAACACGUGGAUAACCUACCUAUAAGACUGGGAUAACUUCGGGAAACCGGAGCUAAUACCGGAUAAUAUUUUGAACCGCAUGGUUCAAAAGUGAAAGACGGUCUUGCUGUCACUUAUAGAUGGAUCCGCGCUGCAUUAGCUAGUUGGUAAGGUAACGGCUUACCAAGGCAACGAUGCAUAGCCGACCUGAGAGGGUGAUCGGCCACACUGGAACUGAGACACGGUCCAGACUCCUACGGGAGGCAGCAGUAGGGAAUCUUCCGCAAUGGGCGAAAGCCUGACGGAGCAACGCCGCGUGAGUGAUGAAGGUCUUCGGAUCGUAAAACUCUGUUAUUAGGGAAGAACAUAUGUGUAAGUAACUGUGCACAUCUUGACGGUACCUAAUCAGAAAGCCACGGCUAACUACGUGCCAGCAGCCGCGGUAAUACGUAGGUGGCAAGCGUUAUCCGGAAUUAUUGGGCGUAAAGCGCGCGUAGGCGGUUUUUUAGUCUGAUGUGAAAGCCCCACGGCUCAACCGUGGAGGGUCAUUGGAAACUGGAAAACUUGAGUGCAGAAGAGGAAAGUGGAAUUCCAUGUGUAGCGGUGAAAUGCGCAGAGAUAUGGAGGAACACCAGUGGCGAAGGCGACUUUCUGGUCUGUAACUGACGCUGAUGUGCGAAAGCGUGGGGAUCAAACAGGAUUAGAUACCCUGGUAGUCCACGCCGUAAACGAUGAGUGCUAAGUGUUAGGGGGUUUCCGCCCCUUAGUGCUGCAGCUAACGCAUUAAGCACUCCGCCUGGGGAGUACGACCGCAAGGUUGAAACUCAAAGGAAUUGACGGGGACCCGCACAAGCGGUGGAGCAUGUGGUUUAAUUCGAAGCAACGCGAAGAACCUUACCAAAUCUUGACAUCCUUUGACAACUCUAGAGAUAGAGCCUUCCCCUUCGGGGGACAAAGUGACAGGUGGUGCAUGGUUGCCGUCAGCUCGUGUCGUGAGAUGUUGGGUUAAGUCCCGCAACGAGCGCAACCCUUAAGCUUAGUUGCCAUCAUUAAGUUGGGCACUCUAAGUUGACUGCCGGUGACAAACCGGAGGAAGGUGGGGAUGACGUCAAAUCAUCAUGCCCCUUAUGAUUUGGGCUACACACGUGCUACAAUGGACAAUACAAAGGGCAGCGAAACCGCGAGGUCAAGCAAAUCCCAUAAAGUUGUUCUCAGUUCGGAUUGUAGUCUGCAACUCGACUACAUGAAGCUGGAAUCGCUAGUAAUCGUAGAUCAGCAUGCUACGGUGAAUACGUUCCCGGGUCU
RNAcentral lists this ribosomal RNA (1372 nucleotides) under uncultured bacterium. RNAcentral describes it as "bacterial SSU rRNA". It matches the Rfam family "Bacterial small subunit ribosomal RNA", at positions 28 to 1381 of the family's 1533-position model. The record is from RNAcentral.